AUGAAAUAAAUUAUAAAUAUAUACAUGUAUAGUGCAAUUCUUAUCAAUAGUUUCAUGGUAAAUAAGUUGUAGAAGGCUGUUUGAAGUUUGCAGCAUAUUCAACUUUGAACAUCUUUUUCAGGUCUGCAAUCCAUAUAGAACAAAGUAUAUGUUGUAUGAUCGCCAAUGAAACGACUAUCCACAGAGGUUCAAAUAACAAAGUAAAUAUAAGCAACUAUACAGCCUUCAAAACAGAGGGAAAAAAACAGUCCAGACUUGUUAAAUACGCAAC
This 271-nucleotide long non-coding RNA is filed under the name Mytilus galloprovincialis (Mediterranean mussel). Lineage: Eukaryota; Metazoa; Mollusca; Bivalvia; Mytilida; Mytilidae. The record is from RNAcentral.